GACGAACGCUGGCGGCGUGCUUAACACAUGCAAGUCGAACGGUAAGGCCCUUCGGGGUACACGAGUGGCGAACGGGUGAGUAACACGUGGGUGAUCUGCCCUGCACUUCGGGAUAAGCCUGGGAAACUGGGUCUAAUACCGGAUAGGACCACUGCCUGCAUGGGUGGUGGUGGAAAGCUUUUGCGGUGUGGGAGGGGCCCGCGGCCUAGCAGCUUUUUGGUGGGGUGAUGGCCUACCAAGGCGACGACGGGUAGCCGGCCUGAGAGGGUGACCGGCCACACUGGGACUGAGAUACGGCCCAGACUCCUACGGGAGGCAGCAGUGGGGAAUAUUGCACAAUGGGCGCAAGCCUGAUGCAGCGACGCCGCGUGAGGGAUGACGGCCUUCGGGUUGUAAACCUCUUUCAGCACCGACGAAGCGCAAGUGACGGUAGGUGCAGAAGAAGGACCGGCCAACUACGUGCCAGCCGCCGCAGUAA
Molecule: ribosomal RNA, 478 nt
Filed under: uncultured bacterium
Lineage: Bacteria
Description: partial 16S ribosomal RNA
Rfam family: Bacterial small subunit ribosomal RNA
Source: RNAcentral